Molecule: ribosomal RNA, 1580 nt
Filed under: Lacticaseibacillus paracasei
Lineage: Bacteria; Bacillati; Bacillota; Bacilli; Lactobacillales; Lactobacillaceae
Description: bacterial SSU rRNA
Rfam family: Bacterial small subunit ribosomal RNA
Source: RNAcentral
UUUAUAUGAGAGUUUGAUCCUGGCUCAGGAUGAACGCUGGCGGCGUGCCUAAUACAUGCAAGUCGAACGAGUUCUCGUUGAUGAUCGGUGCUUGCACCGAGAUUCAACAUGGAACGAGUGGCGGACGGGUGAGUAACACGUGGGUAACCUGCCCUUAAGUGGGGGAUAACAUUUGGAAACAGAUGCUAAUACCGCAUAGAUCCAAGAACCGCAUGGUUCUUGGCUGAAAGAUGGCGUAAGCUAUCGCUUUUGGAUGGACCCGCGGCGUAUUAGCUAGUUGGUGAGGUAAUGGCUCACCAAGGCGAUGAUACGUAGCCGAACUGAGAGGUUGAUCGGCCACAUUGGGACUGAGACACGGCCCAAACUCCUACGGGAGGCAGCAGUAGGGAAUCUUCCACAAUGGACGCAAGUCUGAUGGAGCAACGCCGCGUGAGUGAAGAAGGCUUUCGGGUCGUAAAACUCUGUUGUUGGAGAAGAAUGGUCGGCAGAGUAACUGUUGCCGGCGUGACGGUAUCCAACCAGAAAGCCACGGCUAACUACGUGCCAGCAGCCGCGGUAAUACGUAGGUGGCAAGCGUUAUCCGGAUUUAUUGGGCGUAAAGCGAGCGCAGGCGGUUUUUUAAGUCUGAUGUGAAAGCCCUCGGCUUAACCGAGGAAGCGCAUCGGAAACUGGGAAACUUGAGUGCAGAAGAGGACAGUGGAACUCCAUGUGUAGCGGUGAAAUGCGUAGAUAUAUGGAAGAACACCAGUGGCGAAGGCGGCUGUCUGGUCUGUAACUGACGCUGAGGCUCGAAAGCAUGGGUAGCGAACAGGAUUAGAUACCCUGGUAGUCCAUGCCGUAAACGAUGAAUGCUAGGUGUUGGAGGGUUUCCGCCCUUCAGUGCCGCAGCUAACGCAUUAAGCAUUCCGCCUGGGGAGUACGACCGCAAGGUUGAAACUCAAAGGAAUUGACGGGGGCCCGCACAAGCGGUGGAGCAUGUGGUUUAAUUCGAAGCAACGCGAAGAACCUUACCAGGUCUUGACAUCUUUUGAUCACCUGAGAGAUCAGGUUUCCCCUUCGGGGGGCAAAAUGACAGGUGGUGCAUGGUUGUCGUCAGCUCGUGUCGUGAGAUGUUGGGUUAAGUCCCGCAACGAGCGCAACCCUUAUGACUAGUUGCCAGCAUUUAGUUGGGCACUCUAGUAAGACUGCCGGUGACAAACCGGAGGAAGGUGGGGAUGACGUCAAAUCAUCAUGCCCCUUAUGACCUGGGCUACACACGUGCUACAAUGGAUGGUACAACGAGUUGCGAGACCGCGAGGUCAAGCUAAUCUCUUAAAGCCAUUCUCAGUUCGGACUGUAGGCUGCAACUCGCCUACACGAAGUCGGAAUCGCUAGUAAUCGCGGAUCAGCACGCCGCGGUGAAUACGUUCCCGGGCCUUGUACACACCGCCCGUCACACCAUGAGAGUUUGUAACACCCGAAGCCGGUGGCGUAACCCUUUUAGGGAGCGAGCCGUCUAAGGUGGGACAAAUGAUUAGGGUGAAGUCGUAACAAGGUAGCCGUAGGAGAACCUGCGGCUGGAUCACCUCCUUUCUAAGGAA